CAUGCUGUAAACGAUGAUUACUAGGUGUGGGAGGACUGACCCCUUCCGUGCCGCAGUUAACACAAUAAGUAAUCCACCUGGGGAGUACGAUCGCAAGAUUGAAACUCAAAGGAAUUGACGGGGGCCCGCACAAGCAGUGGAGUAUGUGGUUUAAUUCGAAGCAACGCGAAGAACCUUACCAGGUCUUGACAUCGAGUGAACAGUCUAGAGAUAGAUUGGUCCUUCGGGACACAAAGACAGGUGG
Molecule: ribosomal RNA, 244 nt
Filed under: uncultured Oscillospiraceae bacterium
Lineage: Bacteria; Bacillati; Bacillota; Clostridia; Eubacteriales; Oscillospiraceae
Description: partial 16S ribosomal RNA
Rfam family: Bacterial small subunit ribosomal RNA
Source: RNAcentral